UGGGGAAUAUUGCACAAUGGGCGAAAGCCUGAUGCAGCAACGCCGCGUGAGUGAUGAAGGUCUUCGGAUUGUAAAGCUCUGUCUUUUGGGACGAUAAUGACGGUACCAAAGGAGGAAGCCACGGCUAACUACGUGCCAGCAGCCGCGGUAAUACGUAGGUGGCGAGCGUUGUCCGGAUUUACUGGGCGUAAAGGGUGCGUAGGCGGAUGUUUAAGUGAGAUGUGAAAUACCCGGGCUUAACUUGGGUGCUGCAUUUCAAACUGGAUAUCUAGAGUGCAGGAGAGGAGAAUGGAAUUCCUAGUGUAGCGGUGAAAUGCGUAGAGAUUAGGAAGAACACCAGUGGCGAAGGCGACUCUCUGGACUGUAACUGACGCUGAGGCACGAAAGCGUGGGUAGCAAACAGGAUUAGAUACCCUGGUAGUCCACGCCGUAAACGAUGAGUACUAGGGUGUAGGAGGUAUCGACCCCUUCUGUGCCGCAGUAAACACAUUAAGUACUCCGCCUGGGAAGUACGAUCGCAAGAUUAAAAC
RNAcentral lists this ribosomal RNA (530 nucleotides) under uncultured bacterium. RNAcentral describes it as "partial 16S ribosomal RNA". It matches the Rfam family "Bacterial small subunit ribosomal RNA", at positions 355 to 900 of the family's 1533-position model. The record is from RNAcentral.